CCGAAGAUUUCGCAUUUCCAUGCUACUAACAUUUUCAUUUUACUAUAUCAUAAACAUAAAUUAUGUAAUUAAAGAGAUAAGUCUUAAAAGAAACUAAAAUAAUGGGUCAUUGCUAGAUAUUCUCUCUCUAGAGUUCUAGAAAGAGAAUUUGCUCUCAUUUCUUCCAUUCCUUUUAGUUAUCAAUUUAGCUGCGUGAGUCUUGUUUUGCUUCUCGUUUUGCUUUGAUUGGGUUCCAGCUUCCCUCCCCGUUCCGAGUUGGCUGUUGAUAGUGUCUAAAGCCACCGUUGCAUCGGUGGGAAGGAUAUCAGGAUGCUUGAUGUCGGUGUCUCCAGGCUUAUAACCUUCCUUUUUGGCUGAAGGUGGUCCUUGAAGGCUAUAAUAUGAGAUUAAGCUCGCCGAGGAACUCUAUGACAUCACUCUCCCGGCUAUGCAUGCAAGUCUGAGCUGGAGGAGUUCGGAGGACUGUUGCUAGAGGUAAUUGAAACCAAUGGUCCUUUAUGCUUGUGUAAGGUCUCUUUCAGACUCUUGGACGUUAGUGGGUUCCAUCGUCGAUGGCGGUCCAGCUUGUUAUAGGUAGAGAAGAGGCAGUACAGUUUUUUAUCGGCUUUUCUUAGAGUUGCUAGGUGGCCAAUUAGACCAAGCUUUUCUCUAUGCUUAUUUUGUUUGAGCUAGAUUUUGGGUCUUCUCACUAUAUUUAUCUAUGUUUCUGAGCCCAAAUUAUACAAUAUGCUUUGUGAACCUUCAUAA
Hevea brasiliensis (rubber tree) is the source of this 747-nucleotide long non-coding RNA. RefSeq lists it as uncharacterized. The record is from RefSeq and is a predicted model, not a curated record. The transcript is spliced from 2 exons. Lineage: Eukaryota; Viridiplantae; Streptophyta; Magnoliopsida; Malpighiales; Euphorbiaceae.